RNAcentral lists this ribosomal RNA (267 nucleotides) under uncultured bacterium. RNAcentral describes it as "partial 16S ribosomal RNA". It matches the Rfam family "Bacterial small subunit ribosomal RNA", at positions 524 to 776 of the family's 1533-position model. The record is from RNAcentral.
UACGUAGGUGGCAAGCGUUGUCCGGAUUUACUGGGCGUAAAGAGUAUGUAGGCGGACAUUUAAGUAGAAAGUGAAAGGUCGGAGCUUAACUCCAACAUUGCUUUCUAUACUGGGUGUCUUGAGUGCCGGAGAGGAAAGCGGAACGACACGUGUAGCGGUGAAAUGCGUUGAUAUGUGUCGGAACACCAAUGGCGAAGGCAGCUUUCUGGACGGAGCCGCAAGGCUUAAAACUGACGCUGAGAUACGAAAGCGUGGGUAGCGAACAGG